RNAcentral lists this small nuclear RNA (164 nucleotides) under Salmo salar (Atlantic salmon). Its description in RNAcentral is "U1 spliceosomal RNA". It matches the Rfam family "U1 spliceosomal RNA". From Rfam's summary of the family: U1 is a small nuclear RNA (snRNA) component of the spliceosome (involved in pre-mRNA splicing). Its 5' end forms complementary base pairs with the 5' splice junction, thus defining the 5' donor site of an intron. Lineage: Eukaryota; Metazoa; Chordata; Actinopteri; Salmoniformes; Salmonidae. The record is from Rfam by way of RNAcentral.
AUACUUACCUGGCAAGGGAGACACCGUGAUCAAGAAGGCGGUUCACCCAGGGCGAGGCUCAGCCAUUGCACUCCGGCUGUGCUGACCCCUGUGAAUUUCCCAUAUGUGGAAAUCUCGAUUGCAUAAUUUCUGGUAGUGGGGGACUGCGUUCGCGCUCUCCCCUG